RNAcentral lists this ribosomal RNA (503 nucleotides) under uncultured bacterium. RNAcentral describes it as "partial 16S ribosomal RNA". It matches the Rfam family "Bacterial small subunit ribosomal RNA", at positions 28 to 523 of the family's 1533-position model. The record is from RNAcentral.
GAUGAACGCUAGCGAUAGGCCUAACACAUGCAAGUCGAGGGGCAUCACGGAGUAGCAAUACUUUGGUGGCGACCGGCGCACGGGUGAGUAACGCGUAUGCAAUCUACCUACAACAGGGGGAUAACCCGGAGAAAUCCGGACUACUACCGCAUAACACAGGGGUCCCGCAUGGGAAUAUUUGUUAAAGAUUUAUCGGUAGUAGAUGAGCAUGCGUUCCAUUAGGUAGUUGGUGAGGUAACGGCCCACCAAGCCUGCGAUGGAUAGGGGAACUGAGAGGUUUGUCCCCCACACUGGAACUGAGACACGGACCAGACUCCUACGGGAGGCAGCAGUGAGGAAUAUUGGUCAAUGGGCGAGAGCCUGAACCAGCCAAAUCGCGUGAAGGAAGACUGCCUUAUGGGUUGUAAACUUCUUUUGUACAGGAAUAAAAAGAGGGACGUGUCCUUCAUUGCGUGUACUGUACGAAUAAGCAUCGGCUAACUCCGUGCCAGCCGCCGCGGUAA